AAAAGAGAGUAACUGUGACUUAAAGUAAAAUGACUGGUCAUUCCAGAGUGAGGAGGAAAAGCAAGAAUGGAUAAGAGUGUUGCAGAAAAGGAAUCUUGGCUAUUUACUCUGAAACUUUUGCAAAAAUGCUUCAUAUUCAGGAGAUUCAUGGAAAAGACUCUGAGAACAACUCUGGAAUACAGAUUUCUGAUAACUUGAAGAUCAUGGAACUGAAUGGGAGAAGAGUUUCCAGAACUAAUGGAAAAACUGGGUUCAAGAAAAUGAGAAUAAAAAGCAUAUCUCCUGCCAUUGUCCCAAAUGAUUUCUAGCUCAGACUGCACUGACAAACGUGAAGGAGACUUCCACGGAGGGCAAGGACCAGAAUCUAAAUCACAUCAUUCAAAGAAGCUGCUCUUAUCACAAAACAGGACA
Long non-coding RNA from Lynx canadensis (Canada lynx), 411 nucleotides. RefSeq lists it as uncharacterized. NCBI's taxonomy places the organism in Eukaryota, Metazoa, Chordata, Mammalia, Carnivora, Felidae. The transcript is spliced from 3 exons. The record is from RefSeq and is a predicted model, not a curated record.